This 494-nucleotide ribosomal RNA is filed under the name uncultured bacterium. Its description in RNAcentral is "partial 16S ribosomal RNA". It matches the Rfam family "Bacterial small subunit ribosomal RNA", at positions 28 to 504 of the family's 1533-position model. The record is from RNAcentral.
GACGAACGCUGGCGGCGUGCCUAAUACAUGCAAGUAGAACGCUGAAGAGAGGAGCUUGCUCUUCUUGGAUGAGUUGCGAACGGGUGAGUAACGCGUAGGUAACCUGCCUGGUAGCGGGGGAUAACUAUUGGAAACGAUAGCUAAUACCGCAUAAAAUUGAUUAUUGCAUGAUAAUUAAUUGAAAGAUGCAACUGCAUCACUACCAGAUGGACCUGCGUUGUAUUAGCUAGUUGGUGAGGUAACGGCUCACCAAGGCGACGAUACAUAGCCGACCUGAGAGGGUGAUCGGCCACACUGGGACUGAGACACGGCCCAGACUCCUACGGGAGGCAGCAGUAGGGAAUCGUCGGCAAUGGGGGGAACCCUGACCGAGCAACGCCGCGUGAGGGAAGAAGGUUUUCGGAUCGUAAAGCUCUGUUGUAAGAGAAGAACGGGUGUGAGAGUGGAAAGUUCACACUGUGACGGUAUCUUACCAGAAAGGGACGGCUAACUAC